RNAcentral lists this ribosomal RNA (930 nucleotides) under Arcanobacterium sp. 3656-05. Its description in RNAcentral is "bacterial SSU rRNA". It matches the Rfam family "Bacterial small subunit ribosomal RNA", at positions 77 to 1010 of the family's 1533-position model. Lineage: Bacteria; Bacillati; Actinomycetota; Actinomycetes; Actinomycetales; Actinomycetaceae. The record is from RNAcentral.
GCUUUUGUUUUGGUGGAUUAGUGGCGAACGGGUGAGUAAUACGUGAGUAACCUGCCCUUGUCUUUGGGAUAAGCCUGGGAAACUGGGUCUAAUACCGGAUAUUCUGCUUCUGCCGCAUGGUGGGGGUUGGAAAGAUUUUUUGGAUGGGGAUGGGCUCACGGCCUAUCAGCUUGUUGGUGGGGUGAUGGCCUACCAAGGCGUCGACGGGUAGCCGGCCUGAGAGGGUGACCGGCCACAUUGGGACUGAGAUACGGCCCAGACUCCUACGGGAGGCAGCAGUGGGGAAUAUUGCACAAUGGACGCAAGUCUGAUGCAGCGACGCCGCGUGGGGGAUGAAGGCUUUCGGGUUGUAAACUCCUUUCAGUACAGAACAAGGCCUUUGUGGUUGAGGGUAUGUGCAGAAGAAGCGCCGGCUAACUACGUGCCAGCAGCCGCGGUAAUACGUAGGGCGCGAGCGUUGUCCGGAAUUAUUGGGCGUAAAGAGCUCGUAGGCGGUUUGUUGCGCCUGCUGUGAAAGACCGGGGCUUAACUUCGGGGUUGCAGUGGGUACGGGCAGACUAGAGUGUGGUAGGGGUAAUUGGAAUUCCUGGUGUAGCGGUGGAAUGCGCAGAUAUCAGGAGGAACACCGAUGGCGAAGGCAGGUUACUGGGCCAUUACUGACGCUGAGGAGCGAAAGCGUGGGUAGCGAACAGGAUUAGAUACCCUGGUAGUCCACGCCGUAAACGUUGGGCACUAGGUGUGGGGCCUUUUCCAUGGGUUCUGCGCCGUAGCUAACGCAUUAAGUGCCCCGCCUGGGGAGUACGGCCGCAAGGCUAAAACUCAAAGGAAUUGACGGGGGCCCGCACAAGCGGCGGAGCAUGCGGAUUAAUUCGAUGCAACGCGAAGAAUCUUACCAAGGCUUGACAUACACUGCGAUGUGCCAGAGAUGGU